GAGCUUGCUUUCUUUGCUGGCGACCGGCGCACGGGUGAGUAACACGUAUCCAACCUACCCUUUACUCGGGGAUAGCCUUUCGAAAGAAAGAUUAAUACCCGAUAGCAUAAUGAUUCCGCAUGGUUUCAUUAUUAAAGGAUUCCGGUAAAGGAUGGGGAUGCGUUCCAUUAGGUUGUUGGUGGGGUAACGGCCCACCAAGCCUUCGAUGGAUAGGGGUUCUGAGAGGAGGGUCCCCCACAUUGGAACUGAGACACGGUCCAAACUCCUACGGGAGGCAGCAUG
This 282-nucleotide ribosomal RNA is filed under the name uncultured bacterium. RNAcentral's name for it is "partial 16S ribosomal RNA". It matches the Rfam family "Bacterial small subunit ribosomal RNA", at positions 76 to 353 of the family's 1533-position model. The record is from RNAcentral.